RNAcentral lists this small RNA (102 nucleotides) under Sinorhizobium fredii NGR234. RNAcentral describes it as "Alphaproteobacterial sRNA ar35". It matches the Rfam family "Alphaproteobacterial sRNA ar35", at positions 28 to 144 of the family's 144-position model. The record is from Rfam by way of RNAcentral. Lineage: Bacteria; Pseudomonadati; Pseudomonadota; Alphaproteobacteria; Hyphomicrobiales; Rhizobiaceae.
AUGAUCGCGGUCUAGAAAGGACCCACCUCGUCAUUGACCACGGAUGGACUGGCAAAGGCGGAAGGUGUGAGGAAGGUCGGGUUUACCCCGGCCUUUUUUGUU